This 430-nucleotide ribosomal RNA is filed under the name uncultured bacterium. RNAcentral describes it as "partial 16S ribosomal RNA". It matches the Rfam family "Bacterial small subunit ribosomal RNA", at positions 354 to 796 of the family's 1533-position model. The record is from RNAcentral.
GUGGGGAAUAUUGCACAAUGGGCGGAAGCCUGAUGCAGCAACGCCGCGUGCGGGAUGACGGCCUUCGGGUUGUAAACCGCUUUCAGCAGGGACGAAGCGUGAGUGACGGUACCUGCAGAAGAAGCACCGGCUAACUACGUGCCAGCAGCCGCGGUGAUACGUAGGGUGCGAGCGUUGUCCGGAUUUAUUGGGCGUAAAGAGCUUGUAGGCGGUUGGUUGCGUCGAAAGUGCAAACUCAGGGCUUAACUCUGAGCCUGCUUUCGAUACGGGCUGACUGGAGGAAGGUAGGGGAGAAUGGAAUUCCCGGUGGAGCGGUGGAAUGCGCAGAUAUCGGGAGGAACACCAGUGGCGAAGGCGGUUCUCUGGACCUUUCCUGACGCUGAGAAGCGAAAGCGUGGGGAGCAAACAGGCUUAGAUACCCUUGUAGUCC